RNAcentral lists this ribosomal RNA (465 nucleotides) under uncultured bacterium. RNAcentral's name for it is "partial 16S ribosomal RNA". It matches the Rfam family "Bacterial small subunit ribosomal RNA", at positions 28 to 507 of the family's 1533-position model. The record is from RNAcentral.
GACGAACGCUGGCGGCGUGCUUAACACAUGCAAGUCGAACGGUAAGGCCCCUUCGGGGGUACACGAGUGGCGAACGGGUGCGUAACACGUGAGCAACCUGCCCUUGACUCUGGAAUAACAGUUGGAAACAGCUGCUAAUACUGGAUAUUCAUCGUCUCCUUCCUGGGGGGUGGUGGAAAGCUCCGGCGGUCAGGGAUGGGCUCGCGGCCUAUCAGCUUGUUGGUGAGGUAAUGGCUCACCAAGGCUUCGACGGGUAGCCGGCCUGAGAGGGCGACCGGCCACACUGGGACUGAGAUACGGCCCAGACUCCUACGGGAGGCAGCAGUGGGGAAUAUUGCACAAUGGGUGCAAGCCUGAUGCAGCAACGCCGCGUGCGGGAUGACGGCCUUCGGGUUGUAAACCGCUUUCAGUAGGGACGAAGGGUGACUGACGGUACCUACAGAAGAAGGACCGGCUAACUACGUG